Molecule: ribosomal RNA, 253 nt
Filed under: uncultured bacterium
Lineage: Bacteria
Description: partial 16S ribosomal RNA
Rfam family: Bacterial small subunit ribosomal RNA
Source: RNAcentral
UACAGAGGUCUCAAGCGUUGUUCGGAUUCAUUGGGCGUAAAGGGUGCGUAGGUGGCGCCGUAAGUCGGGUGUGAAAUUUCGGAGCUUAACUCCGAAACUGCAUUCGAUACUGCGGUGCUUGAGGACUGGAGAGGAGACUGGAAUUCAUGGUGUAGCAGUGAAAUGCGUAGAGAUCAUGAGGAAGACCAGUGGCGAAGGCGGGUCUCUGGACAGUAACUGACGCUGAGGAGCGAAAGCGUGGGGAGCAAACAGG